UGGACUUGCUCCUUUCUAGGACUGCAGAGAUAGCAGCAGCCCUUGCCUUGGUUUUAGGAGUGUCUGACAAAAAGACACCAGGGUUGAGAGUGAAGGAUGAAUGAUGUGCUUGUUCCUUUACUUGUUUUCUUUCAUUUCAGAUUGUUGAGCUGGUCACCAGGUUCAUCUGCUCCUGCUCUCAGACCCAGGCUUGUGCAACCAGAGAUUAUGUGGGAGUCCGCACAGACAGGAGCUGUGCUGCAGCAGUUUGAGGCACUGCUACUUUGGUUGUCUAUCUCAUUCAUACACUGACAUCCAGCUGGAUCAGGAAAAAGCUCUGCAUGAGAGGUUUUUAAGUCCUGCUGUGGAAUAUUUUCAUACCUCACCUCUUUACAGCCCUUGGUGGAAAGGAAAAGAGACACCAGGAGAGGUACAAUAAAUAAUGCUAACAUCAGUUGGGAGGGGGUGGU
Molecule: long non-coding RNA, 449 nt
Filed under: Coturnix japonica (Japanese quail)
Lineage: Eukaryota; Metazoa; Chordata; Aves; Galliformes; Phasianidae
Description: lncRNA (ENSCJPG00005010204.1)
Source: RNAcentral